GCCCUCCCUCGUCUCUCUCCUUCAAUCACAGGCGAUGUUAUAACCCAGAACAGGCUAGGAGUCACUGACUGGUUUAGCGAGGUGCCAAUCACCGCACCUCAGUUUUGGCUGUUGUAAGCUAGCCAAUGCCUAGCCAGCAAUGUUUUGAUGGAUGGAAGUGUUAGCCAAUCACAAGGACGUUUACAGUGAUUCACAGUUUGCACCGUUUCGUAAUCAGUUUGAAGAUUCAGCGAGCGCAAAAGUUGUUGUGUGUUCGUGCGCUCUCGUCUUUACGCCCGCGGCGCACUCAGAGCGGCGCAGCAGCGCUACACGGGUAUCUAUCAGCGAGCGGAUGUUCUCCAAAGCUUACAUCUGAAUCUCUCCAGCAAAGAACGUCGACUUUAGAAGAGUUUUUGUGGUGUUUGAUCGUGUUUUGGAGGCCGUGAUGAGAAGCAGCGGCAGCAGCAGAAAGACCCGGAGAGAUGCAUGCAGCCAGGGAUAGCAUUAGCACUGACUUUGGUGUGCAGUUGGUCAAAGAACAAACCUUUUUAGUGACUGCCUUGAGUGUCUUCCUACACUGUAAAUACUGUAAAUAGUUGCUUUUAGUUUUUCAGUAACUUGAUAUUCAUAAUAAUUAGCAGA
Long non-coding RNA from Cyprinus carpio (common carp), 621 nucleotides. RefSeq lists it as uncharacterized. The record is from RefSeq and is a predicted model, not a curated record. NCBI's taxonomy places the organism in Eukaryota, Metazoa, Chordata, Actinopteri, Cypriniformes, Cyprinidae. The transcript has 2 exons.